CCAUACUCCUACUUUAUUCAUCAUUUUUUAAUUUUUCUCAAUUCUCUUAAUAUUUACUCAUCUACUCCUCUUUAAUUACUAAUUCCUUCGUUUCGUAAAGUUCUUUCUACAUUUAAUAAAAUUCCUAUAAUUAACUGUGUAUGUAUUUACGGUACCUGUAUAAGCAUCCCCGGCUAACUCCGUUCCAGCAUCCUCGGUAAUACGGAGGGGGCUAGCGUUGUUCGGAGUGACUGGGCGUAAAGAGCACGUAGGAGGUGUUGUAAGUCAUUAGUAAAAGACUAGAGAUAAAAUUUAGUAAGGAUAGUGAUAAUAUAAUAAUAGAGUAUAAGAGAGGAUUGAAGAAUUAAUGGUGUAGAGGUGAAAUGAGUAGAUAUAAGGAGGAAUAAAGUUAGAGAAGGAGGAAAUAUGGAUGGAAAAUGAAGAUGAGGUGAGAAAGAGUGGGUAGAAAAAAGGAUUAGAUAAAAGGGUAAA
This 471-nucleotide ribosomal RNA is filed under the name uncultured bacterium. RNAcentral's name for it is "bacterial SSU rRNA". It matches the Rfam family "Bacterial small subunit ribosomal RNA", at positions 331 to 794 of the family's 1533-position model. The record is from RNAcentral.